This 454-nucleotide ribosomal RNA is filed under the name uncultured Porphyromonas sp. RNAcentral describes it as "partial 16S ribosomal RNA". It matches the Rfam family "Bacterial small subunit ribosomal RNA", at positions 341 to 792 of the family's 1533-position model. Lineage: Bacteria; Pseudomonadati; Bacteroidota; Bacteroidia; Bacteroidales; Porphyromonadaceae. The record is from RNAcentral.
ACGGGAGGCAGCAGUGGGGAAUAUUGGACAAUGGUCGGAAGACUGAUCCAGCCAUGCCGCGUGAAGGCAGACGGUCCUACGGAUUGUAAACUUCUUUUGUACGGGAACAAUAAGGGCCACGUGUGGUCCGAUGAGAGUACCGUACGAAUAAGCAUCGGCUAACUCCGUGCCAGCAGCCGCGGGAAUACGGAGGAUGCGAGCGUUAUCCGGAUUUAUUGGGUUUAAAGGGUGCGCAGGCGGAAUGGUAAGUCAGCGGUGAAACGCAGGUGCCCAACCCCGGCCCUGCCGUUGAAACUGUCGUUCUGGAAUGCGGAUGAUGUGGGAGGAAUGUGUGGUGUAGCGGUGAAAUGCAUAGAUAUCACACAGAACACCGAUUGCGAAGGCAGCUCACAAAUCCGUAAUUGACGCUGAGGCACGAAAGUGCGGGGAUCGAACAGGAUUAGAUACCCUGGUA